AAUACGAUGACAUUGAUAUAUAGUUUAUGUAUAUUAAAAAAAAAAAUUGAACUUUCCUGUUUUGGUAGUUAAGUUUCAAAGAAAAGUGUUGCGCAACUUUAUGUUGUUACAUUCAAUUUAUUCGCUUGACUUAUCAAUCUACGCUUAUUGUAAACGGGUGCGCAUCAUGUGGAAAUUACUUAAACUGAUUAUUGUGGUUACUGCCGUUAACGGAGUACCUAUUAAUCAGCUUUGUGGAAAGAACGAAGAGUUUAGACACCAAAGCUGCGAGCCGACUUGUAACAGGGUUCAUGAUCAACCUUGCUCUGUUGUGGAGAAAUAUGACGGUUGCUUUUGUAAAACAGAUUUUAUAAGAGAUGAAAAAAAUAAAUGUAUUCCGGUUGGCGAAUGCAGUAAAAGUAUGUAUUUGAAUGUGAAAUGUGCAAUAUGCCAAAUGAAGAAUUAAAUUUAAAUGGAGAUUUAAGAUUUUGCAAUGGAUCCGGAACUUAUUAUACUACAAAAUUUAAAUUCGAUGUAAUAAAAAUAUGUUUCUGUAAGGACGGAUACGCUAAGAAACAUGAUGCGUGUGUCCCUAUUAAAGAAUGCACGUAAGUCUAUAAAAAGAUCCAACAUUAUAGAGGCGUUGAACUGUAUAUAAACGAGUAUUCCAUACGUCAUUUCUGCAUAUUUAUCUAACAUGCUUCAAGCAAUUGUACAUAGUUUUCAAACGUGGAGUUUUACUAGUGCUUUUAUCUAACCGGAUUCAACAGAUAAUUAUCCAAAAGAUCCAUCUUGUAUAAAUCAUAUUUCAUUGAAAGGUGCAAAAGCCAAAGAAGAAGGAACAAGUUGGCAUUAUAUUAUUAUUAUUAUUAUUAUGACCGGAAUGUUAUUUAUUGUAUCAUGAGUUUGCUUUACAUGUUUAUGAUCGUUUUAUGUAAUGAAUAUGUACUCAGGAAUAUUUAUAAAUAUAAAAUUAAUUUCUUAGAUAUUGUA
This 972-nucleotide unclassified non-coding RNA is filed under the name Centruroides sculpturatus (bark scorpion). Its description in RNAcentral is "inducible metalloproteinase inhibitor protein-like, transcript variant X1". The record is from RNAcentral. Lineage: Eukaryota; Metazoa; Arthropoda; Arachnida; Scorpiones; Buthidae.